CCUACGGGAGGCAGCAGUCGGGAAUUUUGGGCAAUGGGCGAAAGCCUGACCCAGCAACGCCGCGUGAAGGAUGAAAUCCCUCGGGAUGUAAACUUCGCAAGAACGGGAAGAAUAAGCCGGUGCCAAUAACACCGGCGAUGACGGUACUGUUUGUAAGCUCCGGCUAACUCCGUGCCAGCAGCCGCGGUAAUACGGGGGGAGCAAGCGUUGUUCGGAUUUACUGGGCGUAAAGGGCGCGUAGGCGGCCACCGCAAGUCGACUGUGAAAUCUCCGGGCUUAACUCGGAAAGGUCAGCCGAUACUGCGGGGCUAGAGUGCAGAAGGGGCAACUGGAACUCUCGGUGUAGCGGUGAAAUGCGUAGAUAUCGAGAGGAACACCUGCGGCGAAGGCGGGUUGCUGGGCUGACACUGACGCUGAGGCGCGAAAGCUAGGGGAGCGAACGGGAUUAGAUACCCCGGUAGUCCUAGCCUUAAACGAUGAAUGCUUGGUGUCUGGGGUUUUAUAGUCCCCGGGUGCCGUCGCUAACGCUUUAAGCAUUCCGCCUGGGGAGUACGGUCGCAAGACUGAAACUCAAAGGAAUUGACGG
RNAcentral lists this ribosomal RNA (586 nucleotides) under uncultured bacterium. RNAcentral's name for it is "bacterial SSU rRNA". It matches the Rfam family "Bacterial small subunit ribosomal RNA", at positions 338 to 916 of the family's 1533-position model. The record is from RNAcentral.